Molecule: ribosomal RNA, 465 nt
Filed under: uncultured bacterium
Lineage: Bacteria
Description: partial 16S ribosomal RNA
Rfam family: Bacterial small subunit ribosomal RNA
Source: RNAcentral
CCUACGGGUGGCAGCAGUGGGGAAUUUUGGACAAUGGGCGCAAGCCUGAUCCAGCUAUUCCGCGUGUGGGAUGAAGGCCCUCGGGUUGUAAACCACUUUUGUAGAGAACGAAAAGACACCUUUUAAUAAAGGGUGUUGCUGACGGUACUCUAAGAAUAAGCACCGGCUAACUACGUGCCAGCAGCCGCGGUAAUACGUAGGGUGCGAGCGUUAAUCGGAAUUACUGGGCGUAAAGGGUGCGCAGGCGGUUGAGUAAGACAGAUGUGAAAUCCCCGAGCUUAACUCGGGAAUGGCAUAUGUGACUGCUCGACUAGAGUGUGUCAGAGGGAGGUGGAAUUCCACGUGUAGCAGUGAAAUGCGUAGAUAUGUGGAAGAACACCGAUGGCGAAGGCAGCUCACUGGACUGCAACUGACACUGAGGCUCGAAAGUGUGGGUAUCAAACAGGAUUAGAUACCCGUGUAGUC